Molecule: long non-coding RNA, 791 nt
Organism: Cygnus olor (mute swan)
Lineage: Eukaryota; Metazoa; Chordata; Aves; Anseriformes; Anatidae
Exons: 3
Source: RefSeq, a predicted model, not a curated record
GUGAUGUACACACAGAUUUCCAUUGUGAAGAAAAGCUGUGUGAUUCCAAAAGGCUGUGCCUUUCAGGAAAUUAACAUUUUUUUCAGGAUUGAGAUUAAACUGCAGCAUUUGGGGGAAGAGAGGAGGAAUCUUACCAGAAAAGCACUUUGCUACAGAUGAGUAUAUUUUCCAGAACUCAUACAUGAAGACAGAAGACUUGUUUUAGGAACAUUAUUACUGCUACAAUGAAGCGUUACAUAUGAUAGCUUUAAAAGAACAGAAGGCUCCCAUUCAGAUACCUACUGAAGCGGUACUGUGCCUGUACAAUUGGACUGCUCAAACUACUUCACCAAUAUCUGAGACUUCCCAGCGGAAACAUUUUGUAUCCCUGCUGAAUCAACAGGUGACUUCAGAGAAGAAUCCAAAGUGUGAGACAUUUUGAUUCAUGAUUACCCUGAAGAAGGAAUAUCAUAUGCUGAGAUGACAGAAAGUUAUGAAGAUUUGAUAAAAUAAUUUCUGUGUCAUCACUGUCUUGAUUCCAUACAAUUAAGGGCUUAUUCAUGUCAUGCUCAGAGUGGAUAAUGACAGGUUAAUGUUACACAACUUUCUAUUUGAAAGACUUUUUAGAUGUUUAUUAUACUUUCCUCAGAUUUACAGCUUAUAACUGAAGAUUCCCAUCCAAAUCUGGUGUGGUUUUUUUUCUCUCCAGAUGUAUUGCUGGUAUCCUUCUUCAUCAUUGUUUUUGCACACCGCUUACGCUUAGCGACUUAAAUGCAGACAUGAAAAUGAAAAUUAAGGAGUGCAAUGCUAAA